This is a long non-coding RNA of Acinonyx jubatus (cheetah), 1707 nucleotides long. RefSeq lists it as uncharacterized. The transcript has 3 exons. NCBI's taxonomy places the organism in Eukaryota, Metazoa, Chordata, Mammalia, Carnivora, Felidae. The record is from RefSeq and is a predicted model, not a curated record.
AUUCUCCUGGUCUUUGUGCCCCACCUCUGAGCUUUCAUAGUACCCAACAUCUAAGGAGGGCUUACCACAUGCCAGGCACUACUCUAAGGUCUGUCUAUCCUAUGAGGUAGCUACUAAUAUUUCCAUUUUACAGAGUGGUUUAGUCUAAAUGUAUGCAAGUAACGGAGGGGUGUGGGGAUUCUAACAAUUGUUCUGCCUGUGAGGUCUGAGCUCUUAACCACCACUCUUAUGGCACUUAUUCAACCCCCACUGACCUGCCUGUCUGCCCCCUGAACUUCAGCCUCUGAGGACAGGACUGUGUUUUUUCCCCUGCUUGAUCCCCAGCCCCAAGCACAGGGCUUGUACUGCAGGCACUCAGUAAUGGUAUGGGGCGAAUGGGAACAAUACCUUCUCCGUCUUGUUGCAAGUGCCAGAAACCUAAAUCAAAUGGACUUAAACUAAAAAGGGAUUUGCUGGCUCACGAAACUGGGAUGCUAAGGCGUCAGCUGGAGGCCAGUCUCAAUGUCACCUCCAUCUCCCAGCUACUGGCCGCUGCUUGGCUUUCUCCCAUCUGCAAUUGUCUGCACCAGCUGCCCAGACUCCCUCCUCUUUUAAGCAACCCUGUUAGUAAAAUCAUUCUACUUUCUCCCAGGGAUUAAUUCUAAGGAACACUCUGAUUGGUUCUGAGCUAUAGUCCACCCCUGUGACUGACACAAGGCAGGCCAUGUGGCCAUCUGGGUGGCCCAACAAUUGGAUCAAGGACCACGUGGAGAGAAGCCUCCUAAUGCAGACAAAAAAAUAUACCUGCCUUGGCCAGCAUUUAGUAAGAACCAUCUUAGUGCUACUUUCUGAGCUGUCUUCUUAGACAUCCUCUAGUCAGGUAUUUUCAAAGUUGAGAGAGCCUCAGAAUCCCGGAGUGCUUGUUGGGGCCAAGAAUUUGCAUUUCUAACAAGUUCCAGGUGGAAGGGCCACGCCUUGAGAACACCGCUCAUCUUCUCAUCUUCAACUUCGGGAGGAAUGCAGACCCUCAGGCCCCACACAGACCCACUGAAUCAGCAUUUGCAUUGGAGGACCAGAACAUCCCGCCAUAAAGUAGGUGGCUGGUCCUCACCUCCCAACCCCCUCGUGUGUGCACAUGUGUGCACGCACUUAAGAUGGGAAGCCCUGCUUUAAACCCAACCUCUUACUGUACAGAGGGAGAGACGAGGCCAUAGGCUCAGAGCACAAGAACACAACAGGGGAACGUCCUGCCAGGCUGAAGACUUGAAGCUGACCUGCACUUGGAUUUCUCCCCAGACCCAGCCAAGUCACACUCACCAACCUCAACCCUACACUUACUGUGCCAGCUGCUCCAUGGAUGGUCCCCACCCAUUUGAAAAGGUUGUCGGAUUCAGGGAAGGCAGAAAUUCCUUUGUCACCAGACAUCUGGGGGAAGAAACAACACCUGCUGGGCUGCAGACUACACUUUGAGGGGUCAGUGGGUGAACUCCUUCCUCUGAAGCGCAUCACAUUUUGAUCCAAAAUAAAGCAACCAGACCAAAUUGACAGGCUUUUCUGGGGAAGUGAUUCAGUUCUUGGGGGCUGAACCUUCCCCUUUGGGGAGGGGUACUGGGUAUGUUAAGGAGAGAGGGGUUAUGCAGAGAAGCAGAAGGGAGCUCUGUACUUCCAAUCUUGUUGGAUGCUGGGAAUUUAACUGAGCAUGCCAGUGAGUGCUGGUUACACACAAAG